Molecule: ribosomal RNA, 497 nt
Filed under: uncultured bacterium
Lineage: Bacteria
Description: partial 16S ribosomal RNA
Rfam family: Bacterial small subunit ribosomal RNA
Source: RNAcentral
GAUGAACGCUGGCGGCGUGCCUAAUACAUGCAAGUCGAGCGAACAGACGAGGAGCUUGCUCCUCUGACGUUAGCGGCGGACGGGUGAGUAACACGUGGAUAACCUACCUAUAAGACUGGGAUAACUUCGGGAAACCGGAGCUAAUACCGGAUAAUAUAUUGAACCGCAUGGUUCAAUAGUGAAAGACGGUUUUGCUGUCACUUAUAGAUGGAUCCGCGCCGCAUUAGCUAGUUGGUAAGGUAACGGCUUACCAAGGCAACGAUGCGUAGCCGACCUGAGAGGGUGAUCGGCCACACUGGAACUGAGACACGGUCCAGACGCCUACGGGAGGCAGCAGUAGGGAAUCUGCCGCAAUGGGCGAAAGCCUGACGGAGCAACGCCGCGUGAGUGAUGAAGGUCUUCGGAUCGUAAAACUCUGUUAUUAGGGAAGAACAAAUGUGUAAGUAACUAUGCACGUAUUGACGGUACCUAAUCAGAAAGCCACGGCUAACUACGUG